RNAcentral lists this transfer RNA (78 nucleotides) under Planctomycetota bacterium. RNAcentral's name for it is "Planctomycetes bacterium (sediment metagenome) tRNA-Val". It matches the Rfam family "tRNA". From Rfam's summary of the family: Transfer RNA (tRNA) molecules are approximately 80 nucleotides in length. Their secondary structure includes four short double-helical elements and three loops (D, anti-codon, and T loops). Lineage: Bacteria; Pseudomonadati; Planctomycetota. The record is from RNAcentral.
GGGCGGUUAGCUCAGCCCGGCUAGAGCGUCUGCUCGACACGCAGAAGGUCACAGGUUCAAAUCCUGUACCGCCCACCA